CACGGCAGACAGGUCCUGCAUGGCUCCUUGAAGGUCAAACCUAGCCAUGGCCCAGAAGGGAGGCAGUGAAUGUGGACAACAGCAGCCGCUGUGUUUUGACUACAGUGUGGGGAAACAUUUAACUAAGGAAGCAGAAAACAAGAAACAACACCCUCAUCUCCCAAGGCAAUAAAAUCAUCAUCAAUUCACCGGGACGAAUAUGGGUAAGAUUCCAGCACAUUCCAUCAAAAGAACUCCAGAGAACCCCAUACCCAUGGCGAAAGGGCAAGACUUCAGGCCUUAGG
This 284-nucleotide long non-coding RNA is filed under the name Ictidomys tridecemlineatus (thirteen-lined ground squirrel). Its description in RNAcentral is "lncRNA (ENSSTOG00000033050.1)". The record is from RNAcentral. Lineage: Eukaryota; Metazoa; Chordata; Mammalia; Rodentia; Sciuridae.